Molecule: ribosomal RNA, 253 nt
Filed under: uncultured bacterium
Lineage: Bacteria
Description: partial 16S ribosomal RNA
Rfam family: Bacterial small subunit ribosomal RNA
Source: RNAcentral
UACGUAGGGUGCUAGCGUUGUUCGGAAUCAUUGGGCGUAAAGCGCGUGUAGGUGGCUUGUUAAGUCGGUUGUGAAAGCCCAGGGCUCAACCCUGGAAGUGCAUCCGAAACUAGCUCGCUAGAGGACAGCAGAGGGAGGUGGAAUUCCUAGUGUAGAGGUGAAAUUCGUAGAUAUUAGGAGGAAUACCGGUGGCGAAGGCGGCCUCCUGGACUGUUCCUGACACUGAGACGCGAAAGCGUGGGUAGCAAACAGG